Molecule: ribosomal RNA, 498 nt
Filed under: uncultured bacterium
Lineage: Bacteria
Description: partial 16S ribosomal RNA
Rfam family: Bacterial small subunit ribosomal RNA
Source: RNAcentral
AUUGAACGCUGGCGGCAUGCCUUACACAUGCAAGUCGAACGGUAACAGGUCUUCGGAUGCUGACGAGUGGCGAACGGGUGAGUAAUACAUCGGAACGUGCCUAGUAGUGGGGGAUAACUACUCGAAAGAGUGGCUAAUACCGCAUGAGAUCUACGGAUGAAAGCAGGGGAUCGCAAGACCUUGUGCUAUCAGAGCGGCCGAUGGCAGAUUAGGUAGUUGGUGGGAUAAAAGCUUACCAAGCCGACGAUCUGUAGCUGGUCUGAGAGGACGAUCAGCCACACUGGGACUGAGAAACGGCCCAGACUCCUACGGGAGGCAGCAGUGGGGAAUUUUGGACAAUGGGCGCAAGCCUGAUCCAGCAAUGCCGCGUGCAGGAUGAAGGCCUUCGGGUUGUAAACUGCUUUUGUACGGAACGAAAAGCCCCGGGUUAAUACCCUGGGGUCAUGACGGUACCGUAAGAAUAAGCACCGGCUAACUACGUGCCAGCCGCCGCCGUAA